GCAAUACCUCAUUCCUUAUGCAAAGAAAUUAUGCAUGAUAUUGCACCUGCUGAGAUAGAAGAAAUUGAUGUUACCAUUAAGCUUGCCAAUAGAGAUACUAUUUCACCGAUUGGGAUUGUUAGAGAUGUUGAAGUCUUGUGUGGGAAGGUUAAAUAUCCUGCUGAUUUUCUUGUUCUUGGUUCCCCACAAGAUAGGUUUUGUCCCAUUAUAUUUGGUAGACCCUUCUUGAACACUGUUAAUGCUAGGAUAGACUGCGAAAAGGGUGUUGUUACUAUUGGUUUGGGUGAUAUGUCUCAUGAGUUUAAUUUUGCUAAAUUUCGUUGA
Molecule: ribosomal RNA, 324 nt
Filed under: Triticum aestivum (bread wheat)
Lineage: Eukaryota; Viridiplantae; Streptophyta; Magnoliopsida; Poales; Poaceae
Description: partial small subunit ribosomal RNA
Source: RNAcentral